Molecule: ribosomal RNA, 362 nt
Filed under: uncultured Bacteroidales bacterium
Lineage: Bacteria; Pseudomonadati; Bacteroidota; Bacteroidia; Bacteroidales
Description: bacterial SSU rRNA
Rfam family: Bacterial small subunit ribosomal RNA
Source: RNAcentral
AAUAGACUUCAUACGAGGUGCUGCAUGGCUGUCGUUAGCUCGUGCCGUGAGGUGUUAGGUUAAGUCCUGCAACGAGCGCAACCCCUGUUUCCAGUUGCCAUCAAGUAAAGUUGGGGACUCUGGAGAGACUGCCUGCGCAAGCAGAGAGGAAGGUGGGGAUGACGUCAAGUCAGCACGGCCCUUACGUCCAGGGCCACACACGUGCUACAAUGGCCGAUACAGAGGGCAGCUACCUGGUGACAGGAUGCAAAUCUCGAAAGUCGGUCUCAGUUCGGAUCGGAGUCUGCAACUCGACUCCGUGAAGUUGGAUUCGCUAGUAAUCGCGCAUCAGCCAUGGCGCGGUGAAUACGUUCCCGGGCCUU